GACGGGACCGCACAAGCGGUGGAUGAUGUGGUUAAUUCGAUGCAACGCGAAAACCUUACCACCUUUGACAUGUACGGAAUCCUUUAGAGAUAGAGGAGUGCUCGAAAGAGAGCCGUAACACAGGUGCUGCAUGGCUGUCGUCAGCUCGUGUCGUGAGAUGUUGGGUUAAGUCCCGCAACGAGCGCAACCCUUGUCAUUAGUUGCUACAUUCAGUUGGGCACUCUAAUGAGACUGCCGGUGACAAACCGGAGGAAGGUGGGGAUGACGUCAAGUCCUCAUGGCCCUUAUAGGUGGGGCUACACACGUCAUACAAUGGAUGGUACAAAGGGUCGCCAACCCGCGAGGGGGAGCCAAUCCCAUAAAGCCAUUCGUAGUCCGGAUCGCAGUCUGCAACUCGACUGCGUGAAGUUGGAAUCGCUAGUAAUCGUGGAUCAGAAUGUCACGGUGAGUACGUUCCCGGGUCUU
This 465-nucleotide ribosomal RNA is filed under the name uncultured Acidovorax sp. RNAcentral describes it as "bacterial SSU rRNA". It matches the Rfam family "Bacterial small subunit ribosomal RNA", at positions 917 to 1381 of the family's 1533-position model. The record is from RNAcentral. Lineage: Bacteria; Pseudomonadati; Pseudomonadota; Betaproteobacteria; Burkholderiales; Comamonadaceae.